RNAcentral lists this ribosomal RNA (540 nucleotides) under Bacillus sp. (in: firmicutes). Its description in RNAcentral is "bacterial SSU rRNA". It matches the Rfam family "Bacterial small subunit ribosomal RNA", at positions 148 to 674 of the family's 1533-position model. Lineage: Bacteria; Bacillati; Bacillota; Bacilli; Caryophanales; Bacillaceae. The record is from RNAcentral.
UUCGGGAAACCGGAGCUAAUACCGGAUAAUUUUAGACACCACAUGGUGUCUAUAUAAAAGAUGGCUUACGCUAUCACUUACAGAUGGGCCCGCGUCGCAUUAGCUAGUUGGUGAGGUAACGGCUCACCAAGGCGACGAUGCGUAGCCGACCUGAGAGGGUGAUCGGCCACACUGGGACUGAGACACGGCCCAGACUCCUACGGGAGGCAGCAGUAGGGAAUCUUCCACAAUGGACGAAAGUCUGAUGGAGCAACGCCGCGUGAGUGAUGAAGGCCUUCGGGUCGUAAAGCUCUGUUGUUAGGGAAGAACAAGUACUAGAGUAACUGCUAGUACCAUGACGGUACCUAACCAGAAAGCCACGGCUAACUACGUGCCAGCAGCCGCGGUAAUACGUAGGUGGCAAGCGUUGUCCGGAAUUAUUGGGCGUAAAGCGCGCGCAGGCGGUCCUUUAAGUCUGAUGUGAAAGCCCACGGCUCAACCGUGGAGGGUCAUUGGAAACUGGGGGACUUGAGUACAGAAGAGGAAAGCGGAAUUCCACGU